RNAcentral lists this ribosomal RNA (580 nucleotides) under uncultured bacterium. Its description in RNAcentral is "bacterial SSU rRNA". It matches the Rfam family "Bacterial small subunit ribosomal RNA", at positions 66 to 653 of the family's 1533-position model. The record is from RNAcentral.
ACGGAGAAAUUGGUUUCGGCUGAUGGAUUUGUAUAACUUAGUGGCGGACGGGUGAGGAACACGUAGGUAACCAAUCCUGAAGCGGGGGACAACUGCGGGAAACCGGAGCUAAUACCGCAUAAGACCACAGGCUGAGAGGCUGGUGGUAAAAGGAGCAAUUCACUUCAGGCUGGGCCUGCGGCCUAUCAGGUAGUUGGUGGGGUAAGAGCCUACCAAGCCAGAGACGGGUAGCCGGACUGAGAGGUUGAACGGCCACACUGGAACUGAGACACGGUCCAGACUCCUACGGGAGGCAGCAGUGGGGAAUUUUGCGCAAUGGGGGAAACCCUGACGCAGCGACGCCGCGUGGAGGAUGAAGGUUUUCGGAUUGUAAACUCCUUUUGUAGGGGAAAAUAGUGAUGGUACCCUACGAAUAAGCCACGGCUAACUCUGUGCCAGCAGCCGCGGUAAGACAGAGGUGGCAAGCGUUGUUCGGAAUUACUGGGCUUAAAGGGCGCGUAGGUGUCCUGGCAAGUCAGAUGUGGAAGCUUCUUGCUUAACGGGAAAAUGGCAUUUGAAACUGCCGGGAUUGAGUCAGACA